CCUCGCAAAAUAACAAUUUCAUAAAACUCAUGAAAUUUAAAAAAACUUUUAAAAUAACAACACCAAAAGAGCAGCAACAAUCAGAGAUAUUUCAUAUUUACAAGAAUACUUGAAGCUUUGCAUGUUUUUCCUUCCAAUUUGCACUCUGAAGCCUUUGUGCAUUCGGGUUCUAAUUUCCCCUUGCACUUUUCUUUGUUGUUUGGGUUCCAUCCGGUUUAAGAUUGUGUUACAUGGACUCCUUUUGUUUCUGCCUUGCUGCAAUUAAAUUUUCACUUUUUUUGUGGUGUCGGCGUUAUAACUACAAAAAUCCUUGGCAUCACAAUCAUAUUGGCUUUCAUGGUGCUUGCCGUAUAAUUUUUGUUUGACUUCUGCUGAGUUUGUUUGAUUUAUUUUUUUUUACGGUCAGACCCAACCUCGCCACGCAAUUUCCUUCCGGGGCUCAACAUCCGGUGGGUUUUCACUGUGCGGGUUUCUCUUUUGAGGUCAUGGGGUGCGUGAGUGGGCGGAAUAAAGGGUCGGUGUGUUGUGUGUGGGUUUUUCUCUCACUCUCUUCCUCCUUCCCUGUCCGUGCAUCUCGACGCUGGCGAUGGAAAUGGGGUGCCCCCACCCGUCUUGAAACACGGACCAAGGAGUCAAACAGACGCGCAAGGGAGGAGUAUGUAUGUGAGAACUCUUUUCUCGUACUGAAAGGGAGGUGUGAUUUUGCACCCGUGGCGUGCGCAAUUUCUCUUUUUUGUGUUUUUGCCCAACGCCGGCCGGCCCCCCGUGGGCUGCGCGCGAGUGUGCCUGUUUGGACCCGAAAGGUGGUGAGCUAUGCCUGAACAAGGUGAAGCCCGGGGAAACCCCGGUGGAGGCCUGUAGCGAUGCUGGCGUGCAAAUCGCUCGUACGAUUUGGGUAUCGGAGCGAAAGACUCAUCGAACAACCUAGUAGCUGGUUCACGUCGAAGUUUCCCUCAGGAUAGCCGGUGCUUGUCUUUAAGAAGUACUGUGCGGUAAAGCAAAUGAUUAGAGGCAUUGGUGUUCUUGUAAUAUCGACCUGUUCUCAAACUUUAAAUGUACAAACAACCCAGCCUUAGUUAUUUUAACAAGGCUUUUGGGUACAUAAGAAUUGAGGCACCAAGUGGGCCUUCUUCGGUAAGCGGAGCAGGCGAUGCGGAAUGAACCGCUUAGGGAUAUGUGGCGUCAAAACUUGUGGGCUCAUUCUCGAUACGUGAAAAGGGUUUUGGUGAAUAUGGGCAGGUGGACGGUGGCCAUGGAAGUCGGCAUCCGCUAAGGAGUGUGUAACAACUCACCAACCGAAUCCACCGGCCCCGAAAAUGGAUGACGCUUAAGCCCCAUGUGCGUGAUUGCCCAUUAUUCCUCUGGUGAGGGCGGCUAUAUUUCUUUGUGAGAAAGUGUAGCCCUCCCGAUGUAGACGUGGCGCGGGGGUGAGGACGAAGCCGAUGGCGCGAGCCUCGGAUGGACCCGCCUCUAGUGCAGAUCUUGGUUGGCGUAGCAAAGAUCUAACGGAAUAUUUUUUCUUAAAUGCAACGUUGGAUACUGGAGCAGGGAAGGAUUUCGUGCCAACGACACUCGUACACGAGUUGUUCGGUCACUGAGCACAACGUUACACCGUUUUGUUAGGAAAGUGAAGGUGGUCGGCGCACUUCUCCCUUUUUUGGGGUUUGUGUGUUUUACCGGCUUAUCUGAAAAGGGGCAACAGAGAACCUGGGAUGAUAUUCCAAAAAGAAAUUGCAUGUGGGACAGAAAAAUAAUACAACAAAACAAAGAUGAAUAGCCAUGUGUGUGUGAGUGAUUGUCGUUUUAUACACAUAUAUAAUUGUUAUCACGCAGUUAUAUAUAUAUUAUUACCAACACACGCUCUUCACAACUGAGCUGUCUUUUUGCUUUAUGUGAAUAAACUGUGGAAAUGCGAAACACUUGCCAUGUGACCCAUCCAUCCUCCCACGGUGAGCUUUCUUUUCACCAUAAUCCACAUCUCCGGCCUUGCUGGGGCUUGGGCCUCUCGACUUCUCGCGUUACUCGGAGCGGGGGCUCAAGAUUGAAAAAUGCAGCUCACCCUACGUACUGUCCUUUGUUGUGAGUUCGGCGCAUUAAAGCAAAAACCUGGGGUGUUAUGGAAAAUGAAAACAAAAAUCAUAUAUUAUAUAUUUGCGUAAUAUAUGUUUUUGUUUUGACAACAAAAUAAAUUCCCAACUGCAGACCGUACUCAUCACCGCAUCAGGUCCCCAAGCAUCGAAUGCUCUGGUA
Trypanosoma brucei brucei is the source of this 2250-nucleotide ribosomal RNA. It matches the Rfam family "Eukaryotic large subunit ribosomal RNA", at positions 24 to 1888 of the family's 3401-position model. The record is from Rfam. Lineage: Eukaryota; Euglenozoa; Kinetoplastea; Trypanosomatida; Trypanosomatidae.